Molecule: unclassified non-coding RNA, 338 nt
Filed under: Malassezia globosa
Lineage: Eukaryota; Fungi; Basidiomycota; Malasseziomycetes; Malasseziales; Malasseziaceae
Description: partial internal transcribed spacer region
Rfam family: Eukaryotic small subunit ribosomal RNA (bases 1-46)
Source: RNAcentral
AAGUCGUAACAAGGUUUCUGUAGGUGAACCUGCAGAAGGAUCAUUAGUGAAGAUUCAAGGGCCAGCCAUACAGACGUACAAUAAGUGUGUCUCUGGCGGCUCGCACCCACUAUACAUCCAUAAACCCGUGUGCACUGUUCUAAGGAGUAAGAAAGAAGAAGGGGAGGGGAGAGAGAGUGCAUGUGCUUUGCAUAUAACUCUCUCUCACUCUCCACUCUCUUUCUCUCUCCGGUUAAUUACAAACUCGUAUGGAUUUGUAUGAACGUGAGAUAUAUCGUUGGACCGUCACUGGCCAACAAAUAUAACACAACUUUCGACAACGGAUCUCUUGGUUCUCC